ACGCACGCUGGCGGCGUGCUUCACCCCUGCCAGUCGCACGGAAAGGCCCUGCUUUUGUGGGGUGCUCGCGUGGCGAACGGGUGAGUAACACGUGAGUAACCUGCCCUUGACUUUGGGAUAACUUCAGGAAACUGGGGCUAAUACCGGAUAUGAGCUCCUGCUGCAUGGUGGGGGUUGGAAAGUUUCGGCGGUUGGGGAUGGACUCGCGGCUUAUCAGCUUGUUGGUGGGGUAGUGGCUUACCAAGGCUUUGACGGGUAGCCGGCCUGAGAGGGUGACCGGCCACAUUGGGACUGAGAUACGGCCCAGACUCCUACGGGAGGCAGCAGUGGGGAAUAUUGCACAAUGGGCGGAAGCCUGAUGCAGCAACGCCGCGUGCGGGAUGACGGCCUUCGGGUUGUAAACCGCUUUCGCCUGUGACGAAGCGUGAGUGACGGUAAUGGGUAAAGAAGCACCGGCUAACUACGUG
This 467-nucleotide ribosomal RNA is filed under the name uncultured bacterium. RNAcentral's name for it is "partial 16S ribosomal RNA". It matches the Rfam family "Bacterial small subunit ribosomal RNA", at positions 29 to 507 of the family's 1533-position model. The record is from RNAcentral.